RNAcentral lists this ribosomal RNA (548 nucleotides) under uncultured bacterium. RNAcentral's name for it is "bacterial SSU rRNA". It matches the Rfam family "Bacterial small subunit ribosomal RNA", at positions 777 to 1329 of the family's 1533-position model. The record is from RNAcentral.
AAUAGAUACCCGGGUAGUCCACGCCCUAAACGAUGCUCACUAGGUGUUGGGGAAGCGAUUCCUUGGUACCGUAGCUAACGCGUGAAGUGAGCCGCCUGGGGAGUACGGCCGCAAGGUUAAAACUCAAAGGAAUUGACGGGGACCCGCACAAGCGGUGGAUGAUGUGGAUUAAUUCGAUGCAACGCGAACAACCUUACCUACCCUUGACAUGUCCGGAAGCCUGCUGAAAGGCGGGGGUGCUCGAAAGAGAACCGGAACACAGGUGCUGCAUGGCUGUCGUCAGCUCGUGUCGUGAGAUGUUGGGUUAAGUCCCGCAACGAGCGCAACCCUUGUCCCUAGUUGCUACGCAAGGGCACUCUAGGGAGACUGCCGGUGACAAACCGGAGGAAGGUGGGGAUGACGUCAAGUCCUCAUGGCCCUUAUGGGUAGGGCUUCACACGUCACACAAUGGACGGUACAGAGGGUUGCCAACCCGGCGAGGGGGAGCCAAUCCCAGAAAGCCGUUCGUAGUCCGGAUCGCAGUCUGCAACUCGACUGCGUGAAGUCGG